This 73-nucleotide transfer RNA is filed under the name bacterium ADurb.Bin363. RNAcentral describes it as "tRNA-Phe". It matches the Rfam family "tRNA". From Rfam's summary of the family: Transfer RNA (tRNA) molecules are approximately 80 nucleotides in length. Their secondary structure includes four short double-helical elements and three loops (D, anti-codon, and T loops). Further hydrogen bonds mediate the characteristic L-shaped molecular structure. tRNAs have two regions of fundamental functional importance: the anti-codon, which is responsible for specific mRNA codon recognition, and the 3' end, to which the tRNAs corresponding amino acid is attached (by aminoacyl-tRNA synthetases). tRNAs cope with the degeneracy of the genetic code in two manners: having more than one tRNA (with a specific anti-codon) for a particular amino acid; and 'wobble' base-pairing, i.e. permitting non-standard base-pairing at the 3rd anti-codon position. RNAcentral also lists the same sequence under 1 other name. The record is from RNAcentral.
GCCGAGAUAGCUCAGCAGGUAGAGCAACGGACUGAAAAUCCGUGUGUCCCCAGUUCGAUUCUGGGUCUCGGCA